AACUUUCAGCAACGGAUCUCUUGGCUCUCGCAUCGAUGAAGAACGCAGCGAAAUGCGAUAAGUAAUGUGAAUUGCAGAAUUCAGUGAAUCAUCGAAUCUUUGAACGCACCUUGCGCCCUUUGGACAUUCUGAAGGGCAUGCCUGUUUGAGUAUCA
RNAcentral lists this ribosomal RNA (155 nucleotides) under uncultured Tomentella. Its description in RNAcentral is "5.8S ribosomal RNA". It matches the Rfam family "5.8S ribosomal RNA". Rfam says of the family: 5.8S ribosomal RNA (5.8S rRNA) is a component of the large subunit of the eukaryotic ribosome. RNAcentral also lists the same sequence under 1 other name. The record is from RNAcentral. Lineage: Eukaryota; Fungi; Basidiomycota; Agaricomycetes; Thelephorales; Thelephoraceae.